RNAcentral lists this ribosomal RNA (666 nucleotides) under Vibrio sp. RNAcentral describes it as "bacterial SSU rRNA". It matches the Rfam family "Bacterial small subunit ribosomal RNA", at positions 86 to 743 of the family's 1533-position model. Lineage: Bacteria; Pseudomonadati; Pseudomonadota; Gammaproteobacteria; Vibrionales; Vibrionaceae. The record is from RNAcentral.
GGGCGUCCAGCGGCGGACGGGUGAGUAAUGCCUAGGUAAAUUGCCCUGAUGUGGGGGAUAACCAUUGGAAACGAUGGCUAAUACCGCUAUGAUGCCUACGGGCCAAAGAGGGGGACCUUCGGGCCUCUCGCGUCAGGAUAUGCCUAGGUGGGAUUAGCUAGUUGGUGAGGUAAUGGCUCACCAAGGCGACGCAUCCCUAGCUGGUCUGAGAGGAUGAUCAGCCACACUGGAACUGAGACACGGUCCAGACUCCUACGGGAGGCAGCAGUGGGGAAUAUUGCACAAUGGGCGCAAGCCUGAUGCAGCCAUGCCGCGUGUGUGAAGAAGGCCUUCGGGUUGUAAAGCACUUUCAGUCGUGAGGAAGGUGGUGUAGUUAAUAGCUGCAUUAUUUGACGUUAGCGACAGAAGAAGCACCGGCUAACUCCGUGCCAGCAGCCGCGGUAAUACGGAGGGUGCGAGCGUUAAUCGGAAUUACUGGGCGUAAAGCGCAUGCAGGUGGUUUGUUAAGUCAGAUGUGAAAGCCCGGGGCUCAACCUCGGAAUAGCAUUUGAAACUGGCAGACUAGAGUACUGUAGAGGGGGGUAGAAUUUCAGGUGUAGCGGUGAAAUGCGUAGAGAUCUGAAGAGAAUACCGGUGGCGAAAGGCGGCCCCCUGGACAGAUACUGA